GAUGAACGCUAGCUACAGGCUUAACACAUGCAAGUCGAGGGGCAGCAUGGUCUUAGCUUGCUCAGGCCGAUGGCGACCGGCGCACGGGUGAGUAACACGUAUCCAACCUGCCGUCUACUCUUGGACAGCCUUCUGAAAGGAAGAUUAAUACAAGAUGGCAUCAUGAGUUCACAUGUUCACAUGAUUAAAGGUAUUCCGGUAGACGAUGGGGAUGCGUUCCAUUAGAUAGUAGGCGGGGUAACGGCCCACCUAGUCUUCGAUGGAUAGGGGUUCUGAGAGGAAGGUCCCCCACAUUGGAACUGAGACACGGUCCAAACUCCUACGGGAGGCAGCAGUGAGGAAUAUUGGUCAAUGGGCGAGAGCCUGAACCAGCCAAGUAGCGUGAAGGAUGACUGCCCUAUGGGUUGUAAACUUCUUUUAUAAAGGAAUAAAGUCGGGUAUGUAUACCCGUUUGCAUGUACUUUAUGAAUAAGGAUCGGCUAACUCCGUG
RNAcentral lists this ribosomal RNA (490 nucleotides) under uncultured bacterium. RNAcentral describes it as "partial 16S ribosomal RNA". It matches the Rfam family "Bacterial small subunit ribosomal RNA", at positions 28 to 507 of the family's 1533-position model. The record is from RNAcentral.